Long non-coding RNA from Cyprinus carpio (common carp), 1342 nucleotides. The record is from Ensembl. NCBI's taxonomy places the organism in Eukaryota, Metazoa, Chordata, Actinopteri, Cypriniformes, Cyprinidae.
GGUGAACUCAGCUGUCUCAGAUUAUGGGUGAAAGAAACAUAUGACAGGACUUUUACAUAAUAAUAAUAAUAAUAAUAAUAUUGUUUUUCCCUUACGAAAAUUAACUUUUUUGUAAUAGUUGUUGUUGUCUGCCCUAACUCCCUCUAAACCUAUUAUACAAUUAUGUGAAUUUGUCUAAUUACUACUGUAACAUUUAUAAUGAUAAUGUAACAUAAUAAUGAUGUCCUUUAGCAUACAGUGUUUUGAGUGAUGAGUAGUGUGCUGCUGCUAACAGGUGCUGGCAGUUUAAUACUUGGCGAAGUCAAAACAAUAACAGGUCAACGGGCCAAAUCGGCUGCAAGUCGGAGUUCUCCCGUUUCUCUCGAUUGCCAGACCGCGUCUGUUUGAGCAGCUUUGUGCCAUGUCGAAAGUGAAAGUUUAGAGGUUCAGUAUUUAGACUCUUGUGAGCAGCAGAGAGAGUCAGAGAGGAGUGAACUCAGACUGUGAAGACACGCAGAGCUCGGGUGAUCAAUAACUCUCUCUGAAUGGGAAAUAAUCUCCUUUAAUAAUUCAUAACCAACUACGGGCAAAUCUUCAAAAUCAACCAUGAAUGCUGUAAUUGCUGUGCAGCUGUUCAUUCUGGUUUGGAUCUUUACUGCUGUCUGUCAAGCUGAUAAAGAUAUCAUUGUAAGCUGUGAGAAUGUGACUGGAUUUGUGGGGAAAGAAGUAAUUCUCAACUGCAGCGUCUCUCUGCAGAACACUGAAUGCUGCAUUACAAAGUAUAAGUUUCAAUACCCUGAGAUCUUUAAUGACUCCGCAAUCUGUCGUCGAGAUGUUCCUGUGAACUCCUGUGAACAGAGAAACAGUUUCACAUGCAGCUACACUCCAACUACAGCGAUGACAAAACAAUUCAGAUUCUUUGUGCAAACAAAUUGUGGAGUGGGAAAAGCUGAAAUCUUCACUCUUGAAGCAGGUACUGCAUACUGUUACAUUUUUGCUUAUAAUUUAGUAAAUCUUUGCAAAUGUACAUUUAUGUUCAUUCUACUAACAGUGGUUUUAAACCUGUUAACAAAGACCAUUAAACCUGAAAAUAAUAGUAAAACUCUUGGUAAGAAAGUUAAUAUAUUCUAAUACAAUUAUUGAUUAUUUCUUCAGUUUCAUCAAGACGUGAACAGACAACAUCAGGAACCUCUCCACCAGAGACAGCAUCAGUAUCCUCUCCACCAGAGACAGCAGGUCUUGGAUCCAAGGAGACUGUCUUCACUGUGGUUGUGGUUGGUUUCAUCAUCAUCCUCAUCAUGACGGCGAUCAUUUGCAGAACAAAACCAAACUUCACCAAACUUUGCAGAGGCCAGAACUGGAU